This 479-nucleotide ribosomal RNA is filed under the name uncultured Pseudoalteromonas sp. RNAcentral's name for it is "bacterial SSU rRNA". It matches the Rfam family "Bacterial small subunit ribosomal RNA", at positions 97 to 570 of the family's 1533-position model. Lineage: Bacteria; Pseudomonadati; Pseudomonadota; Gammaproteobacteria; Alteromonadales; Pseudoalteromonadaceae. The record is from RNAcentral.
GGCGGACGGGCUGAGCUAAUGCUUGGGAAUAUGCCUUAUGGUGGGGGACAACAGUUGGAAACGACUGCUAAUACCACAUGAUGUCUACGGACCAAAGUGGGGGACCUUCGGGCCUCACGCCGUAAGAUUAGCCCAAGUGGGAUUAGCUAGUUGGUGAGGUAAUGGCUCACCAAGGCGACGAUCCCUAGCUGGUUUGAGAGGAUGAUCAGCCACACUGGGACUGAGACACGGCCCAGACUCCUACGGGAGGCAGCAGUGGGGAAUAUUGCACAAUGGGCGCAAGCCUGAUGCAGCCAUGCCGCGUGUGUGAAGAAGGCCUUCGGGUUGUAAAGCACUUUCAGUAAGGAGGAAAGGUUAAGUGUUAAUAGCACUUAGCUGUGACGUUACUUACAGAAGAAGCACCGGCUAACUCCGUGCCAGCAGCCGCGGUAAUACGGAGGGUGCGAGCGUUAAUCGGAAUUACUGGGCGUAAAGCGUAC